AAGAGUGUGCACCUCUUUAAUUACAUCCGACACUUUACUAUCCCCUAGUGUCUGCCUUCAAUUAUGCUGUUUAGGAUUCACGGAAAUGAGAUGAACACAAGAGCUUUUCCCAAAAACUUUUCUAAAAUCUGUUUAAAUUUUUUUCAGAUAGGAUAAUUCUUCAAGUAAAUUUGCAGUAGGGUCGAUAAUUCCGUCGCAGAAUCCGGCGCAAUGAAAAUAUACGGAAAUACCAGGAUAGCGAUAAAUACUGGUUAAAAUUUGACUGAAAUUCUCAUUUUCGAGAAGGAGUUGAAAAUUAAGUGAGAGAGCGUCCGAUCCCAGGAUGUAAUUUCGGUCGGGGUUGUUUCCCUUUGUUUUCUUUUGCCAAGAAACUUCGAUUCUAUUCUCUGACAUAUCGAUUCGAACGAGUGAAUAUAUGCAGCGGUAAAUUGGCACAUGAUUUCUCACCUGUCAGAAGAUUGAUAUUUUUCAAACUGGAUGUUUCCUCUUCUUCGAAUCGAGCUAGGGGUGCUUCGAACUUUAAUUCCGCCAUUUUACCUGCCAUGUCCCUCAUCGUUAACCACCUUUUAAAGUUAAAAAAAAAAAGGAAAGAAUCAACCAAUUCCCAGUGUCUAUCGAUUCACCGGCGAGCCAAAAAACAAACAAACCGUUCGAACCGCAGUCGAGAAAAUCAAUGGUGCGAAACGACAGAGUAACUUGCUUCUCCGGCGUUCGGAGAGCGACUGAAAAAUAACCCGGUGGAGAGCACAAUAAUGGAAGAAGGGGAAGAGAAGGAAGAACCAAACCGCGCAGAUGAUUCGACCGUAUCCAUGACGACUAGAAGGGGAAUCGGAAAAUAAACGAG
RNAcentral lists this unclassified non-coding RNA (844 nucleotides) under Athalia rosae (coleseed sawfly). Its description in RNAcentral is "misc RNA ENSAEAG00005011382.1". The record is from RNAcentral. Lineage: Eukaryota; Metazoa; Arthropoda; Insecta; Hymenoptera; Athaliidae.